RNAcentral lists this ribosomal RNA (897 nucleotides) under uncultured Syndiniales. RNAcentral describes it as "SSU rRNA". It matches the Rfam family "Eukaryotic small subunit ribosomal RNA", at positions 52 to 956 of the family's 1831-position model. The record is from RNAcentral. Lineage: Eukaryota; Dinophyceae; Syndiniales.
UGCAUGUCUCAGUAUAAACCUUUACACGGUGAAACUGCGAAUGGCUCAUUAAAACAGUUAUAGUUUAUUUGAUGGUCACUCGUUAUAUGGAUAACUGUGGUAAUUCUAGAGCUAAUACAUGCACAAAAAUCCGACUUCUCGGAAGGGUUGUAUUUAUUAGAUACAGAACCAAUCGGGCUUGCCCGUUGUUGGAUGAUUCAUAGUAAAUGAACGGAGCGUAUGCCUUGUGGCGACGCUGCGUCAUUCAAGUUUCUGACCUAUCAGCUAUCGACGGUAGGGUAUUGGCCUACCGUGGCAUUGACGGGUAACGGAGAAUUAGGGUUCGAUUCCGGAGAGGGGGCCCGAGAAACGGCUACCACAUCUAAGGAAGGCAGCAGGCGCGCAAAUUACCCAAUCCUGACACAGGGAGGUAGUGACAAGAAAUAACAAAGCAAGUCAGAAUUCUGAUUUUGCUAUUGGAAUGAGUAGAAUUUAAAUCCCUUUACGACUAUCAAUUGGAGGGCAAGUCUGGUGCCAGCAGCCGCGGUAAUUCCAGCUCCAAUAGCGUAUAUUAAAGUUGUUGCGGUUAAAAGCUCGUAGUUGGAUUUCUGUCGAGGAUGACCGGUCCGCACUUUGUGCGUGCAUCUGGUUCAGCCUUGGCAUCCUCCUGGGGAACGUAUCUGCGCUUAAUUGCGUGGUGCGGUAUUCAGGACUUUUACUUUGAGGAAAUUAGAGUGUUCACGGCAGGCAAUCGCCUUGAAUACAUUAGCAUGGAAUAAUAAUAUAGGGCCUUGGUCCCAUUUUGUUGGUUUCUGGAACUAAGGUAAUGAUUAAUAGGGAUAAUUGGGGGCAUUCGUAUUAACGUGUCAGAGGUGGGAUUCUUGGAUUACGUUACGACGAACUACUGCGAAAGCAUUU